This is a long non-coding RNA of Lolium perenne, 3918 nucleotides long. RefSeq lists it as uncharacterized. NCBI's taxonomy places the organism in Eukaryota, Viridiplantae, Streptophyta, Magnoliopsida, Poales, Poaceae. The record is from RefSeq and is a predicted model, not a curated record.
UGGUGGACACAAAUGGCAUAGUGUUUGGCUCAAGGAUUUUGGAUGCACGAGAAGUAUUCCCUCUCAAUACAAGGUUUAGGCUAGCAAGGCUAUUUGAAACAAACACAAGCAUGAACCGGUACAGCAAAACUUACAUAAGAACAUAUUGCAAGCAUUAUAAGACUAUACAUUGUCUUCCUUGUUGCUCAAACCCUUACCAGAAAAUAUCUAGACCUUAGAGAGACCAAUCAUGCAAACCAAAUUUUAGCAAGCUCUAUGUAUUUCUUCACUAAUAGGUGCAAAGUAUAUGAUGCAAGAGCUUAAACAUGAGCACAACAAUUGCCAAGUAUCACAUUAUUCAAGACAUCAUACCAAUUACUACAUGUAGCACUUCCCGUUUCCAACCAUACAACAAUUAACGAAGCAGUUUCAACCUUCGCCAUGAACAUUAAAAGCUAAGAACACAUGUGUUCAUAUGAACCAGCAGAGCGUGUCUCUCUCCCACACAAUCUUUUAUUCAAACAAAAACAAAAACAAAAACAUACAGACGCUCCAAGUAAAGUACAUAAGAUGUGACCGAAUAAAAAUAUAGUUUCAAGAGAAGGAACCUGAUAAUUUGUCGAUGAAGAAGGGGGUGCCUUGGGCAUCCCCAAGCUUAGUUGCUUGAGUCUUCUUGAAAUAUGCAGGGAUGAACCACCGGGGCAUCCCCAAGCUUAGACUUUUCACUCUUCUUGAUCACAUUGUAUCAUCCUCCUCUCUUGACCCUUGAAAACUUCCUCCACACCAAACUCGAAACAAACUCAUUAGAGGGUUAGUGCAUAAUCAAAAUUCACAUGUUCAGAGGUGACACAAUCAUUCUUAACACUUCUGGACAUUGCUCAAAGCUACUGGAAGUUAAUGGAACAAAGGAAUCCGUCCAACAUAGCAAAAGAAGCAAUGCGAAAGAAAAGGCAGAAUCUGUCAAAACAGAACAGUCCGUAAAGAUGAAUUUUUAAGAGGCACCAGACUUGCUCAAAUGAAAAUGCUCAAAUUUAAUGAAAGUUGCGUACAUAUCUGAGGAUCACUCACGUAAAUUUACAGAAUUUUCUGAGUUACCUACAGAGAACCCUGUCCAAAUUCGUGACAGACAGAAAUCUAUUUCUGCGCAGUAAUCCAAAUCUAGUAUCAACCUUACUAUCAAAGACUUUACUUCGCACAACAAUGCAAUAAAAUAAAGAUAAGUAGAGGUUGUUACAGUAGUAACAACUUCCAAGACACAAAUAUAAAACAAAGUUGCUAUAGCAAAAUAAACACAUGGGUUAUCUCCCAAGAAGUGCUUUCUUUAUAGCCAUUAAGAUGGGCUCAGCAGUUUUAAUGAUGCACUCGCAAGAAGUAAGCGUUGAAGCAAAAGAGAGCAUCAAGAGGCAAAUUCAAAACACAUUAAGUCUAACCCACUUCCUGUGCAAAUGAAUCUUGUACACAAAUGAAUUCAUGAAAAACAAAGUGACAAGCAUAAGAGGAUAAAACACGAGUAACUUCAAGAUUCUCAACAUAAAGAGGGGAAACUUAAUAUUAUUAAGAUGCAUAUAACCAUGUUUCCCUCUCUCAUAAUAACUUUCAGUAGCAUCAUUGAUGAAAUCCAUAAUAUACCCAUCACUUAAAACAUUCUUAUCAUGGUUCAUAUGCAUAGAAGUUAUAUCCUAUAUAAAGCGUUGCAGAUUUCACGCUCUCCUCUUUCUUCACACACUGUAUAUGCGCUAUUUUUCUUCCUUCCCAUCCAUAGGCAUCCUGCCACGUUUUAUAUUUCUUUCUCUCCAGUUGGUGAUCGGUUUGUUUUUUCCUUUUUUCUAGGCAUCUGGUUGACCGGCAAACGGGUCUUAGUAAAGAUAGAGAUUUCUCCCGCGCUAAAAUGGCAUUAUCACCUCUCCCCGGUAAUUCCCUUUUCUUUUCUCGGCCUCUCCGUGAUCGUGGGUUCAUAACUGCUUGGUUUGCCACGUUAUUACUGCUGCACUGCUACGUGUUGGCUUCACAUUUUCAGCAACCGUCUUGCCUUCUCUUUUUUCCCGAUUUUUUCUUAUUUUCCUCCCUGCCAUUCAAUUCUGUUACGCUUCCUGCUGGGGUUUACCCACGAAAACUCCGGCGCCUGCAUCUUCCCCAGUUCCCCUUGCCGAUCUGCGCCCGCCAUACACGACGGGCGAUCGUGCUGCUUCUUCUGCGUCUCCUCUUUCUUCCUGCCUUCUACGUUUUCCUUUCUUCUCCUUGCUUUAUAAUGGUGUAAUGUUGCCCGGUUUCUUCUUCUUCGGCAGGUAGUCCAUGAACACACGCGGUUUUGCUGGCCGUCGGCGUCGCCGCGGCCGCCCUCCGUCCUCUUCUCAUUCUCCGACUCCGUCUCGCCGCCGUAGCCUUCAUGCUCUGCCUCCGCGUCCGCCUCCUGCCGGUGCUGCUUCUGAUGGUGACCGUCUGCGUCAUGGGAGACCUCCAGGUCGUGGCCGUUCUCGAGGACAUCCGCGCUCGAUCCUCCCUCCAAAUUUCGAUCUGAUGCCCAUGCCUGCGCCGUCUCUGCCCCUGUUCUAUGCCGUUUCUCCUACAGCGCCGGCCACUGUUACGGCUUCUUCUUCGUCCACGACUCAGAGUGAUGUUUUGCCUUUGAUGACUGAUUUAACACAUGCAGAAAUUGAGAGGAGACUCGGCAAGCGAUCGGUCAUCGAUUCAUCCUCUGGUGCUGCUGCCUUCUACUCAUUUUUGCCUAGCCAUUCCUGUGACCUUUCUUCUCCGUCCCAGCCUACAGCAUCGUGGGAGCAACAUGGAUGCUUUGAGAUUUUGAUGCCUCACAAGUGUUUGUUGUUAUGCCUAUAAAAACCAAAAAAGUGUAUUCUUGGAUUUAUCAUUUGAUCUGUAUAGGUUAAAGUAAUGUAUUCAGCUGAUUAACUCAUCUGCAUAAGAUGCAGUGCAUCUGGGUUUCCUUAUUCUCUUUUCUAGCUUUCAUAUCUUAUGGCUAUUGGGAGCGAUCUGACAAUCUGAUUUUUGCUCUGUAGGAUUCUGCAAUCAAAUGUUUUGGCUAAUUAUAUAGUUUUUCAUGGACGCAAUGGAGAGUGCCUUUUUCUGGCUAAUGAGUAAUGAUGCAAAGUAUAGAAGAAGAAAGACAUGAAAGUUUCAUGGUCAAAGACAUAUUGCCUUGAUCUCAUUAUUUAUUAAUGGAAGGUUCUUGUCCGUCUUUCCUGUAUCUGGGAAUGCAGAUAUCAGUAAACACGCAACAAAACGUAGAUGAGUUAGAUUUCAUCGCUGUAAACCAUGAGCUUCUGAUAUUAUGAAGAAAUAGUUGCCACAAAUGCUAAUCUAGCGGGCAUUCUCAACCUCCUUAAUCAUACUACGUACUUUAUGAGGUAAUUUCUGCCAGGGUGCUAUGCGAACAAGCGGUAAAUCUAAUUCGUAUUUAGCUGGACACGUUUGUGAAUUUAUUGAGUCAGAAUGUACAUGUCCAGGUACGAGUUCAGCUGCUGAAUGACUAUGCAUUCUUGGUUUAUAGAGUAAGAUGCCUGGAUUCAUACAGGAGAGCUGGAGCUUAUCCAAUGGACGUCUGAGUAUGCUUCAGUUAUUUGUGGGGUCACGACAGCUUGAGCUACCUGGUUUGCACUGCAACUUAAAUUCAGCACCAGUGAUUGGAUACAUACUGGAUCAGUGAAAUAGCAUGAGGCAGUUACAGAUGACAGCAAGUCGGACCUUGGCAAAGCUAUCACAGCAUGCUCCAGACCAAGAUGCUGCCAUUGCGACCUACGGACUUGACCAUUCUGUAGUAACUGUAAGCUCUAUAAAUUUAUCAGUGUACUAUUUUCGUUUUUUAAAAGCCAUAUUCCCUUUCUAUGGACUAUAUUAUAAGUUAGUACCUCGAUGUUGAAUCGUAGUAUGCCAGGUUUUCAAGACUAUUGCUCUAUAUAACUUUAAGCCAGUUCUGAAGACACA